Molecule: ribosomal RNA, 702 nt
Filed under: uncultured fungus
Lineage: Eukaryota; Fungi
Description: SSU rRNA
Rfam family: Eukaryotic small subunit ribosomal RNA
Source: RNAcentral
GAGCCUGAGAAACGGCUACCACAUCCAAGGAUGGCAGCAGGCGCGCAAAUUACCCAAUCCCGACACGGGGAGGUAGUGACAAUAAAUAACAAUACGGGGUUCUUUAGGAUCUCGUAAUUGGAAUGAGUACAAUUUAAAUCUCUUAACGAGGAACAAUUGGAGGGCAAGUCUGGUGCCAGCAGCCGCGGUAAUUCCAGCUCCAAUAGCGUAUAUUAAAGCUGUUGCAGUUAAAAAGCUCGUAGUUGAAUUUCGGGGUUAGUAGGUUGGUCAUGCCUCUGGUAUGUACUGAUCUCACUGAUUCCUCCUUCCUUAUGAACCGUAAUGCCAUUAAUUUGGUGUUGCGGGGAAUUUGGACUGUUACUUUGAAAAAAUUAGAGUGUUUAAAGCAGGCUAACGCUUGAGUACAUUAGCAUGGAAUAAUGAAAUAGGACGUUCGAUCUUAUUUUGUUGGUUUCUAGGAUUGACGUAAUGAUUAAUAGGGAUAGUUGGGGGCAUUAGUAUUCAAUUGUCAGAGGUGAAAUUCUUGGAUUUAUUGAAGACUAACUACUGCGAAAGCAUUUGCCAAGGAUGUUUUCAUUAAUCAAGAACGAAAGUUAGGGGAUCGAAGACGAUCAGAUACCGUCGUAGUCUUAACCAUAAACUAUGCCGACUAGGGAUCGGAUGAUGUUAAUUUUUUAAUGACUCAUUCGGCGCCUUACGGGA